Biomphalaria glabrata is the source of this 1760-nucleotide long non-coding RNA. RefSeq lists it as uncharacterized. The record is from RefSeq and is a predicted model, not a curated record. NCBI's taxonomy places the organism in Eukaryota, Metazoa, Mollusca, Gastropoda, Planorbidae. The transcript is spliced from 3 exons.
UUGAUCAGCCUUCUAGACUAGAUCUAGCAUCUCUAGCUAGACUCUAACUUGUAGUUUGUAGAUCUUGGAAUUGGAUCAAAAUAUUCACCUUCCUAAAUUGUCUCUAAUGUCUUUAGCUGAUUUGAGAGGCCCAACGAGGCAAGAGUCUAUUACUAUUAGUACUCUGUCUCUUGAUCUAUCUAGUAGGCCUACUUAGCUAGUGCAUUAGCUUUAGCCAUAGUGUAGUCAAAUCUUGACAACUAGUCUUCUAGAUCUAAGCUUCUAGAAUAAUUAGGUCUAGAUACAGUUUAGAUUUAGAAUAUAAAAGUAUUUUACUAGCUAAAAUACUAAAUCUACUGAUCUAAAUUCUAGAUAGAUAUACAAUAUAUAGAUCCAGUUUAGAUUUGGAAUAUAAAAAUAUUUACUAACUAAAAUUCUAAAUCUACUGAUCUAUACUUAAUAUUUUAGAUAUUAUAUGACAUCUACAAAAAUUAUUAUUAAGAUAUAAUUAUAGAUUCUAGACUAGUUAUUUAUGUACAUAAAAUAUAUAAAUAAAAGAUAAAAUUUAUGCAGGCCUAGAUCCCAUAAAUUUAUAAUUGAUCCAGAUCUAUCAGUAAAAGUUACCUUCGAUGGGAAGUUUUACCCAAUCUAAUAUAUAUAUACAAGACAAUUUAUAAACCAUGCCUCGCCUACACCCCAUUCCAUGCCAUGCCCAGACCCAUGAGUUCAUGAAAUAAUAAAUGAUGUGGUGUGAAGUUGGAUCUAUCCCCUGAAAUUCAGCACUUUAAUAUAAAACUCACAUAUCUAGUUAAUUAUUUGCUAUGACACUCUGAUCAACUUGGACUUGUGUGAUACAUAUAUGUUUCUUAUCAGAUUUAAUGAAUGAAGAUUUGGUGCAUUUUAAGGCUACAAAAGUAUCAUCAGGUGUAUUCUAACCAUUGGUAUUUUUCCUGGCAACAUUUCUAUUCUAGUCUGUGAUAAAUUAUAAAUUUAAAAAAAUGUUUGUAAUGUUUCAGCUAUUAACAAGUAGAACCAUGCCAACCAGUUCUGAUGAUGUACCAGAUUGGCUCAAGGAUCAUACUUAUACUAUUUCUACUCUCUGGGCAGACGUUAAUAAUAUUGGCAUCCAUUCAAUAUUUAUUUUAUGUUUGGAAAUGCAAGAAAAAGGCAUGCAUUCCUGACAAGUCAAUGAUUGGUUGCACCUCUUAAAGAUAACUUUCUGUUAUGAGAAAAGAUGAGAUUCUUGGACUCCUGCAUAGCACCACCAGAAAGGAAAAUCCCAUCAUGUUGCAAAAUAAAAGUCUUGGACCAAUUUUAAUUUAAGAUAUAUAUAUUAUGCUGUAAGCUCUAUACAUAUUUAUGUAUAUCCUGUCACUCAGCCAACAGGUUUGGAUUUAGUAUUUCUUUAAAUCUGUUUGAUAUUGUACUUGAAAAUUAUUAAUCUGAGCCCCAUUAAAACCAUAGGGAGUGCAGUGAAUGAGUGGUAAAGCACUUGGCUUUUGAACUGAGGGUUCCUGGGUUCGAUUAAGACUGGGAUUUUCAAUUUCAGAAUUUAAAAGGCUAGGGAUACAUGGCAAUAGUAAGGAAUAAGUAAAGGCAGUUUGGGGAUCCAUGGCUGAAUGGUUAAGUCAUGGGUUUGAAUCUCUGUGAAGACUCAGAUUUAAUUUUUUUAGAUUUUUGGGUGCCCCUGAGUCCACCUAACUCUAAUGGGUAGCUGACUUUCGUUUUGGAAAGUAAAGAUGGUUGGUUGUUGUGCUGGCCAUAUGCUGCACUGGCCAAAG